Molecule: ribosomal RNA, 612 nt
Filed under: Triticum aestivum (bread wheat)
Lineage: Eukaryota; Viridiplantae; Streptophyta; Magnoliopsida; Poales; Poaceae
Description: partial small subunit ribosomal RNA
Source: RNAcentral
AUGAGUAUCUUGAUGUGGAACUGCAGGGGGGACCGCCAGAUAGUUUGUGAGGUUUUGGCCCUCUCAAAAGCCAAUUCCCCGGGGCUGAUUUUCCUUUCAGAAACACGUCAAGCCUCAAGUCAUAUGGAAAAUCUUAAAAGGAGACUGAAUAUGAAUGGUUUUCCUGGUGUAUCUGGUGACGACCUUAGUGGGGGGCUAGCGUUAUUUUGGGAUGAAAACUUGCAAGUAACCGUACUCGACUCCUGCGCACGGUAUAUUAAUGUGAGAAUUGUUGAUAAUGCUAGUGACAAAAUGUGGAGAACUACUUUCGUGUAUGGAGAACCAAGGGUGGAGCACCGACACCGCAUGUGGAGUGCAUUGUCAAGCCUCCGUGCAGCAUCGUUGGAGCCGUGGCUGGUAUGUGGUGAUUUCAACGAAGUAAUGUGGCAACAUGAACACUUUUCUCGGUCGCAAAGGUCUGAAAAUCAAAUGCUCCUAUUUCGGUUUUGCCUGGAAGAUUGCGAAUCAUGGACCUGGGCUUCUUGGAGACACCGUUUACAUAUCAUAAUGGACAGCAGGGGGAAAGGAAUGUUCGAGUUCGGUUGGAUAGAGCGUGUGCCGAUGAAGCUUUGA